AUUGAACGCUGGCGGCAGGCCUAACACAUGCAAGUCGAGCGGAUGAAGGGAGCUUGCUCCUGGAUUCAGCGGCGGACGGGUGAGUAAUGCCUAGGAAUCUGCCUGGUAGUGGGGGAUAACGUCCGGAAACGGGCGCUAAUACCGCAUACGUCCUGAGGUAGAAAGUGGGGGAUCUUCGGACCUCACGCUAUCAGAUGAGCCUAGGUCGGAUUAGCUAGUUGGUGGGGUAAAGGCCUACCAAGGCGACGAUCCGUAACUGGUCUGAGAGGAUGAUCAGUCAAACUGGAACUGAGACACGGUCCAGACUCCUACGGGAGGCAGCAGUGGGGAAUAUUGGACAAUGGGCGAAAGCCUGAUCCAGCCAUGCCGCGUGUGUGAAGAAGGUCUUCGGAUUGUAAAGCACCUUAAGUUGGGAGGAAGGGCAGUAAGUUAAUACCUUGCUGUUUCGACGUUACCAACAGAAUAAGCACCGGCUAACUUCGUG
This 484-nucleotide ribosomal RNA is filed under the name uncultured bacterium. RNAcentral describes it as "partial 16S ribosomal RNA". It matches the Rfam family "Bacterial small subunit ribosomal RNA", at positions 30 to 507 of the family's 1533-position model. The record is from RNAcentral.